This 1009-nucleotide long non-coding RNA is filed under the name Salmo salar (Atlantic salmon). Its description in RNAcentral is "lncRNA (ENSSSAG00000114437.1)". The record is from RNAcentral. Lineage: Eukaryota; Metazoa; Chordata; Actinopteri; Salmoniformes; Salmonidae.
GUAUGUUCUGCUGGCUUGCCCCCCCACCACCACAGAAAGCACUGAGCUAGGCUGAAACACCUGCAUUCUGGAGCUGCCUUACUCAAGAAAGCAAAAAAGACCAUGUUUGAAGGACCAGCAAGAGGAGAAGACUAAAGAAAUCAUCCUGAGAGAAACUCAACGUGACCGUUAACAGAAGUCCAUUUAUGUAGCAGAGAACCUUGUUUCUCGCCUCCAAAAUGACGAUCCGUUUCAAUCUGUUCAGUACGCCUACCAGCAGGACUGACACGCUGAGGAAUAACACAGCCCAUGUUCCUGAACACUGAUACUAGGAGUUGGAUUAAAUGUUUUAAUCUGAAAUGAAGGUUCGCAUCUAAAAACUCACAGGUUUGGAUGGAACCAAAGUGAAGAAGGUGACCAAGUUCAAGGUGGAGAGGUAGGUGGCCAUCAAAGCAGAGGGUCGUGGAGGUUAAAGCCAUCAAAGCGGAGGGUCGUGGAGUUGUUGACACUACAGUGGCUGUGUCACUACAGGUCAAAUACCUGUGGCUGGCAAGGGAGCGAAGACGGGAGAGGAACCAAAGAGUAAAAGCAAGAGGUGCCUUUUGAAGUUCAUCCCAGUCGAGGGCCAGAGAAGUAGGUGCCAGCCGAGGGCCAGAGAAGUAGGUGCCAGCCGAGGGCCAGAGAAGUAGGUGCCAGCCGAGGGCCAGAGAAGUAGGUGCCAGCCGAGGGCCAGAGAAGUAGGUGCCAGCCGAGGGCCAGAGAAGUAGGUGCCAGUCGAGGGCCAGAGAAGUCGGUGCCAGUCGAGGGCCAGAGAAGUAGGUGCCAGCCGAGGGCCAGAGAAGUAGGUGCCAGUCGAGGGCCAGAGAAGUCAGGUGCCAGCCGAGGCCUGGUCCUGCUGGUCCAGCUGGGUCUGCUGACCUAUGACCUGUGUGUCAACUCCUUCAGUGAGCUGCUCAGGGCAGGGCCCGUCAUCCAGCUGGUGCUGUUCAUCAUCCAGGAUGUAGGUUCAGCAUCCAGGAUGUAGGUUCAG